GAGGAAAAGAAACUAACAAGGAUUCCCCUAGUAACUGCGAGUGAAGCGGGAAGAGCUCAAAUUUUGAAUCUGGCGGCGUUUCGUCGUCCGAGUUGUAAUCUAGAGAAGCGUCUUCCGCGCUGGACCGUGUACAAGUCUCCUGGAAGGGAGCGUCAUAGAGGGUGAGAAUCCCGUCUUUGACACGGACUACCAGUGCUAUGUGAUGCGCUCUCGACGAGUCGAGUUGUUUGGGAAUGCAGCUCAAAACGGGUGGUAAAUUCCAUCUAAAGCUAAAUACAUGCGAGAGACCGAUAGCGAACAAGUACCGUGAGGGAAAGAUGAAAAGAACUUUGGAAAGAGAGUUAAACAGUACGUGAAAUUGCUGAAAGGGAAACGCUUGAUGUCAGUCGCGUUGGCUGGGGAUCAACCUUGCUUCUCGCUGGGUGUACUUCCCGGUCGACGGGUCAGCAUCAGUUUCGGUCGYCGUACAAGGGCGAGGGGAAUGUGGCACUCCUCGGAGUGUGUUAUAGCCUUUCGUCGUAUGCGGCGGUGGGGACUGAGGAACUCAGCACGACUUCGGUCUGUGCUUAGGAUGCUGGCAUAAUGGCCUUAAGCGACCCGUCUUGAAACACGGACCAAGGAGUCUAACAUGCCUGCGAGUGUUUGGGUGGCAAACCCGAGUGCGCAACGAAAGUGAAAGUUGAGACCUCUGUCACGGAGGGCAUCGACGCCCGGACCU
Molecule: ribosomal RNA, 718 nt
Filed under: Caloboletus sp.
Lineage: Eukaryota; Fungi; Basidiomycota; Agaricomycetes; Boletales; Boletaceae
Description: partial large subunit ribosomal RNA
Rfam family: Eukaryotic large subunit ribosomal RNA
Source: RNAcentral